Dermacentor albipictus is the source of this 1163-nucleotide long non-coding RNA. RefSeq lists it as uncharacterized. NCBI's taxonomy places the organism in Eukaryota, Metazoa, Arthropoda, Arachnida, Ixodida, Ixodidae. The record is from RefSeq and is a predicted model, not a curated record.
GCGCGAAAGAAGAAGAAAAUAUGGACAUAUAGCGAGAGUGGUCCACGAAGCCGAAGCGUCCUGCGAAGACGCUAUUUUUCGACCCUUCCCGGCGCACAAAGGAGUCGUUGCAGCCGUCAGCGGUUCGAACUCCUCCAAUCAGGACCCACCGCGGGUUGCUGUGCGAAUUCCGACGAAUGGACGAGAGGCACCUGCAUCAGGCGAUCCCGGUGAAGUGGCUCAUCGGCGCCGCUCCGGCGGCGCCACCGGAUGUAACCCGAACAUGACUCGCCGUCGGGCCCGGCCAAUUCACUCGGCGCCCGGCUUCAGCCGCAUGGCGAGCUGUUUGUCGGGAGCUCUGGCACAACGGCGUGCAAGAAUCUUCCACACCUUCAAGUUUGCCACAAAAUUAUAGGAACGUUAGGGGAGAAACCAAGUUGGGCGCAGUGCAACGCAGCGCAGGAACUACCGAGCUACCACCUCCCCGAUGUGACGCCGUGUUCGCCUUUGGAUUGCCAGCAAUUCCUUCAGCUUGUGGCAAUGGGCCCGCUUUAUUUCUUCGCGAGUAUUAGCCUGUACUCACCCCUACCUGGUCUUCCACAUCGCCGUAUGCAUCGCAAGAGCGCUUCUUAAGUCUCUACCGCCCCCGCUCAGUGGACUUGGAAGUAUACUUCAGUGAUGCAGCCGCCUUAAACACCAUUCUGCUUUGUCGUGCAGGGGAGGGGGCACCUCCUGAAUAAUUUCCACUGCUUCGGGUUCUUUAUCGGGCACCCAAAGUAUGGUACACCAGCGUUCGAGUUCACGUUUCACCCACCCCCAUUGGAAUGCGGCAGCCGGGGCCAGGAGUCGAACACUCGACUUUGCACGCGGCAGCAGAAAGCCACGGCCACUGAGUCAACGCGGCGGGCCCGAGCAGAUAACAAUAACAUACAAUCGGUCCUUCGUACAGACCAAUCAUGUUGGGGUUUUGCCCUAAAAUUAAAAUUUAACACGGCAGUUUACUCAUGACAGUUGACUGAUUUAUACACUAACAGCGAAUGGCCUUACUGCAAGAAUGACAGCUAACGUCCUGGUGGAUGCACCGUUGCAAGCUGUACUGAUCCACCAAGGUACAAGCUUAGGAAACCUUACUUUCGUACUAUGCACGGUAGGCGUGACUUGGCUUCUUUUCUUUUUUCUAGAAA